GACGAACGCUGGCGGCGCGCCUAACACAUGCAAGUCGAACGGAGCUUUGAGAGCUUGCUUUUUAAAGCUUAGUGGCGAACGGGUGAGUAACGCGUGAGUAACCUGCCCUGGAGUGGGGGACAACAGUUGGAAACGACUGCUAAUACCGCAUAAAGCCCACGGCCCGGUCAUCGGGGCUGUAGGGAAAAGGAUUUAUUCGCUUCAGGAUGGACUCGCGUCCAAUUAGCUAGUUGGUGAGGUAAUGGCCCACCAAGGCGACGAUUGGUAGCCGGACUGAGAGGUUGAACGGCCACAUUGGGACUGAGACACGGCCCAG
This 316-nucleotide ribosomal RNA is filed under the name uncultured bacterium. Its description in RNAcentral is "bacterial SSU rRNA". It matches the Rfam family "Bacterial small subunit ribosomal RNA", at positions 28 to 334 of the family's 1533-position model. The record is from RNAcentral.